Non-coding RNA from Rattus norvegicus (Norway rat), 43072 nucleotides. NCBI's taxonomy places the organism in Eukaryota, Metazoa, Chordata, Mammalia, Rodentia, Muridae. The record is from RefSeq and is a predicted model, not a curated record.
GGCGGGGGCUGCGGCCGCGCGCGGGCCCCUCGGAAGGUCUAGGCUAGGCUGAGCGGGUUAGCCGUGCGCUGUCUUAGCCUCGCGACGGUCAAUAGGUUGCCUGGCCACGCCUUUUGGCCCCGGGUAGGCCCUAGGUCCCGCUGCUUGUCCAUCUCUGUCCCUGGGUUGCACUUGGAGGAGACCCUGCCUCUACCCUCCCUCCUCUCCUCUGCAGACCUCCAUUCUGGUUGCCCCUUUCCCCACUGUGUCCCAAGAUGACUGGUGCUUGUUUGCAUCCUGGAGGAGAUUUGGCCUCCUUCAGCCGGUUGCACUUGGCCUUUACCCCCUACCUCCAUUCCUCCUGAGGGACAUUUCCUUUCUCCACCCCCCACCCCCACCUCCCGAUUUCUCUCUGCAGUGGCCGGUGUGGGGCCCUGUGGAAAAACCCUAGCUGCCUCUUCUUAAAGCACUCCUUCCUUUCACGCCCCUCCUCCUUCUGCAGCCCCAGCCCCUGCAAACACCGCUGCUCCACACCGCUGCCCUCCUUGAAGGAAAAAAAUGACUUUUUUUUUUCUUUCCGGAAUAGCUGUGCCCUUUUCGCAGUGACAGGGAAAAAAUGAGAUGGUAUCUAAUGGCAGCAAGCGUUUGAUGUUAACUCUCACCUCUGGAAAAUCACUGAGCCACUUGGGCACCUAUUCUGUUUUUCAUGUAAUUUCUGUUUACAUCCAGGAUGCAAGCUUGGCCUCAAGGCCCUUUUCCCUCCUUCUGUAAAGUCCUAGUGUGUCAGGUUGAUCUCUCAACUUGCCAAGGAACCUUAGUUGUCUGCCUCACUGUAUAACCACAUAGAGUACCUCACUGACUGGAUACCCUACCUUUACCUUAACUGUCUACCUCACUGUCCACCUCACUGACUGAUUGCUUCACUAUUUAUAUCACUGCCUCUCUGACUAUGUUAACUCUUUACCUCACUGACUGCCUUCCUUGUCUACCUUAUGACCUCACUGUCUACCCCACUGCCUGGCUGCCUCACUGAUAGCCUGUUUACAUCAGACUCUCAUUGACUUCCUAUAUGGUCUGCCUCACUGACUAUCUUACUGUCUUCCCCUCAUUGACAGGCUACCUCACCAACUGGCUACUCCUGCUGUCUCCCCUCAUUGUCUGCUCCACUGACUGGGUACCUCACUGGCUACUUCACUAUUUCCCUUUCCCACUACCUGGCUACCUCACUAGCUCCUCAACUGGAUUUCUUCUCUGUCUGACUACACUGACAUGGUUCCAUGGUUAGCUCAGUGCCUUCUCUGUUUAUCUCCCUGUCUACCUUAUCAUGUACCUCACCGAUUACCUUCAGUGCUUACCUAACUGCCUGACUGCUGUUGUUUACGUCAUUCUCUCACUGUCUGCUGACUGUCUCAGUGUCUACCACUUAUUGCCUAUCUCUGUCUACUUAUGGAAUACCUCACUAUAACUGCCUCACUAAACCGAUUACCUUCACUGUCUGCUCACUGUCUCGCCCUCUGCCUCACUGAUUACCGUAGCUGUUCUCAUUGACUGUCUCUGUUUACCUCAGUGCUUCCCACCUCACUGUCUACUUGAAUGUCUGCUGAUAGUCUCACUGUCUCCUGACUGCAUGACUGACUACUUUAACUGUCUACCUCACCGUCUACCUCACUUACUGACCACCAUCAGUGUUUACCUCACUGGCUACCCCAAGAAACCACUGAAACCUUAGUCACUCUGUGUCCUCCGACUUAAACCUGCUUCAGUAUGAUCUGGAACCAAUGACUUUGCCAGUGACAGCGUUUGCAAGGGAAACAAAUUUUUAGUAGAGCCUACACAAGGAUGAAUCCUUUCAGUAUAUUUUCUCUGAGAAGACUGCCCUAGAAUGUUUUCUAUGUCAAGUAGAUUUUAGGCCUCAGCAUCUCAGCUAAUAAAGCUGGGCUCCGGUUAGACAUGAGAAGUUUGUGUUUUGAAUAUUUUCUUCAUAUCUCUAUUCUGAGUCUUCAGAACAUCUCAGAAAGCAAUGAAUUGAAUUAAAACGUUGUCCUAGAGUUGACAGGCAGGGUCAGGGAGAAGUGACAGUGGGUCUUGAUUUUUCUGCUCGUCCCAUGGUUGUUGACUAGUGUUCCUAGUCACUGGUUCAUGCCAGUGACCAUUACUCCAGCCGCAUUUAUCUGCAGAUAAUGUUUCCUGCUGAUAAAAAAUUACGAGCCGGAGGAUAAGUCAGAAUAUUCUCAAAAUAAGUCUUAAAGUCGAAAAUUUUAACCCUUUCCCUAAAUCGGUGCUGAAUCAAAGUGGGUUUGGUAUUGAGAAUACAGUUUUUCAAUCUGUUGGAGGCUGGUGUGAACAGUGAGGGGAGACAGGCAUAAAGUCCGAGAGGAAUCUUGAACUGUUAACGGGUUUUAUGCAGCAUGUGUCUAAUCACUAGGCAUCUGUCUGAACAAGCUGGAGUUAUUGUCUCCUUGUCUUAUGCAUGUGAAUGUGGGCAGUGAGGAUGUUGGUGUCACGUUAAAUUUUCUGAGCGAAUUCUAAUGUGACCCAUCCCAUUAGUUGGAAGUAAGCUCUUGUGACCAGUGAAGGUAAAGUUCAGUCAGUCAUUCUUAGCGUCAGUAUAAUCCCCCUUCCCAUUUAGCCAAAUUCAACUGUGAUGUGCAAAGUUAAGUCUAUGUUUUGGGACAAACUAGGAAGUGUAGAUUUAGCUUCUAGAAUUUAAUGGGAUGCUGUAUUAGCCCCACACCCUAUCUUAAUUUAACUUUCCAGAGUCUUCCCUGCUAAGAGAUUACCGAAGAUGUCUGUUUUUACUGUGACUAACAUUCAGAUCGGAAUUUCUCUUUAUGUAACUCACAGAGUUACAGUAUUAAAAGACAGGCUAAUUCUCUAUUGCUGCAUUUCAAAGGCAGCAUUUACUGAGGAAGGAUUUUCAUCUUUUAUUUUUGGACUGACUUUGCUUGAAAUGCUCUGAGAACAAGGCCUGCUCAUUAAUACCUGCUAGGCAUGUUGCUCGUAUUGAAACCAUCCACACGGAAGAGCUUGCGAGAAAGGUUUUCAGUCUUUUCUUGUUUUCACCUCUUGGCAAACGGUUGCUUGUCAACAUAUAUAAGCACACAUCGACUCAGUCCUUUCCUGCAGGUCUUCGGGGUGCUAGUUAUUCCCUGUAUCACAUUUGUGACCUAAAUUGUGCUAUUUCAUGUGGUCACAUAGCAUCCAGGUUAAGGUUAGGAAGUCCAUCAUUUGAUUUGGGCCAUGUUUCUAAGAAAAGAUGUCAGUGAAGUUGUACAUUGUCAAAACCAAUUCCAUUAAACAUUGAAUAGUUGCUUCUCCUCCCCCCCUUUUUUUCUUUCUGUUUUAAAAUGUAAAAUUCAAGGAGUCUGCUUGGAGAGAGAAGUGUCUAUUUAAGAAUAUGUAGUUUCUUCUUGUGUUAUAUUUCCUGUCAAGAUGGUACACACUUGACAUCUCUGUCAUGCCAAGCCCAGCUUGGAGCAAGGAAAAGUAGCUGUGUCUUAGUUAGAGUUACUGUUGCUCUGAUGAAACUUGGGGAGGAAAGGCUUACAUAUGCUGAAUGAGAGAUAGUCCAGGGAGGGAAGCCAACGUAGGAACUGGGGUGGGGGCAAGAGCUAAUGGAAGAAGAGGCUGCUGACUGCAAGAGGCUCAGCUUGCUUGCUUGUUUGUUUGUUUGCUUUUUUUCCUUUUUUUCUUUUUUUCCUUCUUUUUUGAGACAGGGUUUCUCUGUAACAACCCUUGGCUGUCCUGGAACUCAUUUUGUAGACCAGGCUGGCUUUGAACUCUCAGAGAUCUUUCUGCUUCUGCCUCCCAGGUACUGGGAUUAAAGGCAUGAGCCUCAGCCUGCUUUCUUAUAGCAUCCAGGACCACAGCACAGGGUUGACACCACCCACAACUGGCUGGAUCCUCCCACAUCGAAUUAAGAAAAUGCCCUAUAGGCCUGCUUGCUACCUUGAUAGCCAACUGAGGCAGUUUCUCAUUUAAGGCUCCCUGCUCUCAUGGGACUAUAGCCUAUAUCAAGUUGACAUAAAACUAGCCAGCCCAAGCUGUGUUUGAAGUGAUUUGGUAUGGUGAACCUGCUUCUGGAGCAUAUCGGAGUGUGACCGAGGUCUAUUUAGUGCAGGCUUUCCUGGCACUAAUUGCUGAACAUGUAGCUUCUGGUGUAGCUGUUCUUCAGGUGCUUCUCCCUGGGGAUAAUGGGUGUGUGAGUCAGUCCUAGGGUCAAGUCACUCCAGACUACUUCAGCCCAGCAAGCUGGUGCUAGAAAGUGAGACAAUUUUCUUGAAGGCUUUUGGCACUUGGAGCUGUGUGAUUGAGUGUACAUGUCUCUUGGCCGUGUUGAAGUCUUUCCUCAGCAUCUUGGUCUUGCCUUUGGCUCCAUCUUCAGAGAGAGCCCUGUGGAGGUUGUCAUAAAAAAGACGUCACGUUAGUUUUGGAGGGACAAACAGCGAUGGAUAAAGCAUGCUUGCAUUGCCCCAGUUCCUGGUUAGGGUUGGAUGGGGAAGGUGUGGGAUACUUGUUUUCAGCCAGGGAAGAGUACUUGAAGUAAAUACUGAGAUUGUGGAAUGACAGUGACAGUGGAAGAAAGACUGAGAAAUAAUAGGAUGAGAAAUAUAUCAAAUUCUGUCUUAUAUGGGUUUCAUCCAAUUUAAAACUUACACCCAUUUUACAGAUGGAGUAGGGUCAGAGGGGGUAUGUGACCUCUGCCACUGGUAGAGAGAAGUUUUGGCACUAUCUCAAUAAUGGCAAUGUUGGUCCCACUUUCUGCCCUAUGGGGUGCUCCCUGAUUGAAGACCCUGGCAGCUGGAGUGCCCCCGUGACUUUGCUUCCCUCUGAGACUUUGCUCUUACAACUACUCAGAAGUGGGCUUGUGGUACCCUUGAGGCUCUGGGACCCCUUGGUAGUUGCUGUAGUUCUGUCACCCUGCCCCUUUAGUCCCGUGCUUUAGAUCUCAUUGGAAUUGAGGCAGAGUUUCAAGCCUUGUAGCUGAUGAUGACAUCAGAUGUGACACAUAGCUGAGGGCUUGUAUUGAGAACAUUAUUUUCAGCAGUCUCUCCAACUCUUUUUUCAGGGUUGAUAUCUUCCUGGCUUGAGAGACCAUGCCAGGUUUGACCCUCUCUGAGCCACCAUUCAUACCUAUGGUCCUCUCUCUACAAGCUCUCCCUGUUUAUUGGUCUUUGUUGAUCUGUUUGGUAUACCUCAGGGUUACAAAGUAACAAAGUACUCACUUGCCAGCCUAAGCUAUGCAUCAAGCUCACCCCAAAGUCAGAUAUUUAGCUCCAUCCUGGGAAAUUUUGGUCUGUGAGUUCUGAGAUUGGGACUGCUCCAAGAAAAAUAUAAAGGACUGGAGGGAUGGCUCAGCUGUUGUGAGCACUUGCUGCUUUUCUAGAGGAUCAGAGUUCAGUUUCUAGAACCUAUGUCAAGUGGCUUAUAACCUCCUGCAACAUACAUGCGAACAAAACACCCAUACACAAUAAGUGAAAACAGUUCUUUUUGAGACAAGUCUUACUGUGUAACCUUGGUUGACCUGCAACUCACUAUGUAGACUAGACUGGUCUCAAACUCAAUGGAGAGCCAUCUCCUCCUGCUUUCUGAGUGAUUGAUUAAAGGCAUGUGCUACUAUGAUCAGUGAAAAAAAAAACUUAAAAGAACCUUAAUAUCUUGAAAGUCUAGGUUUCCAGCAAGUUCCCCCAGCUGUUCUUGGGGGUGGAGGGGAGAACACAAUUGUAUCAUCUGAUUCACACAGUAUUUACAGAGUAGUUUUCAAGGGAAGAGGGGGUAAAUUCUAGAUAAUUUAGAGGGUUUUUUUUUUUUUGGUAAAUUUAUGCCCUACACAGAUUAGGUUUAUCGAGAUAGAAUUAUGAAAGGGGCUCUGUGGAUGGUUUUAGAAGUUUUUACAAAGAUGUAUUUAUUAAUACAUCUUUCUUGUGUAUUAAUGUUUAUCCUGUGUGUUAUGUAUGUACACUGUGUGCUUGUACAGAGGCCAGAAGGGGGCGCCAGAACCUCUGGAACUGGAGUUAUGGAAGGUUGUAAGCCACUAUGUGGUGCUGGGAACUGAAUCUCAGGUCUUUGGCAAGAGAAGUCAGUGUUCUUUAGUGAUGAAGUGUUUCUCCACCCUCUGUAGGAGAUUUAUAAUGGAACGUUGGUAUUUAAACAGUAGUCAGCUAGGGUUUUUUAAAACCUUGAAUGGGGUUGAUGAAAAUGUUAGUUAUGUUUUAAUGAAAUAAUUGCUGGUGCCUUAUAGUGCGCUUAAAAUUCUGAUGUUGUUGUGGAGACAUUUGACACUCAAAUGUGGUAAAAUUACUCUGGUGACUCUGAAUUUUCUUUGGAGUUUUGAAAUAAGUUAGGAUCUUUAUUUGAACACUAUGGUGAUUCUCAUUCUAGAAAAUCACAAACUACAAAUACCAGUACUAUGGGGGAAAAGAGCAAACAGAUGACCUAAAACUGCUAAGCUUGCAACUAGGCAAGUAGUAAAAAUCAUGCCACAUAUAUAUAUAUAUAUAUAUAUAUAUAUAUAUAUAUAUAUAUAUUAAGGCUAACAUUCCAUAGGCCUUUCUUUGGGCUGCAUGCCCAGGUAAUUCUAGGUCUUCAUUAGUUUUCAUAUGUAGAAUCCUUUUUAAAAAAUUAAAACUGUGUGUGUGUUUAUGUUUGCAUAUGAUGUAUGGGAAGGGGUGCACAUACGACAAGAUGCACACAGAGGUCAGAGAAUAAAUGUGGGGAAUUAGUUCUCUUCUUUCAUCAUUUGAAUUCUGGGGAUUAAACACAGGUUGCAAGGCUUGGUAGCAGGUACCUCUAUCUGCCAAUCCAUCUUGCUGGCCCUAUCGGAAGGCGUUUAUUUGAUAAGAUUCUCAGCAUUUUUUUGGAAAGUAGUCUUCUUCUUUGCCAUCAUUCUCAAAAUUUGCAACAACACUGAUGGUUGCAGAACUUGCUAAGAAUGGGCUUCAGACAAUGCCACUUCCCCAUGUGCUGCUGUUCCCACCUUGAAGUCACACAUGGAGGAACUUGUGGUUACAGACGUGUAUACAUAUUUGAAUUGAGAGAUGUUAAGGUACAGCCAUUGAAAUGUCAAGGUUCGACUGUAGUGUACUAGCUUGGGAGACAGGGUACAGUGUUCCAAAGUUAAAUGAAAAUGAUUACUUUUUAAGUGCUUAGUUGGCCCUUGCAUAUAGUAAGGAAGCAAAGAGGGGCUGGUUUCAUCCCCUGUUAAGUGUCUGCUUCUGUGACCUCGCCACUGGAUGAGAAGUGAUCUGCUGAAUAGUGCUCCUGGAGCCUGGAGUGGUUUGGGAAUUUGCUUCAUUUGUUAUGUGGUUAUAGUGAGGGUUUAUAUUAAAAUUCAUCUGAGCAUACAGUAAACAAAAAGAGCAACAGUAGCCAGUUGUCAGGGAAAAGACUGAUGGGUAGAAUAAACAGACUGCUUUCUGCAAUAUAAACAAUCUGUUUUCGUGAUUUUUUUUUCCCUUUACUUUUUUUUUUUUUUUUGAAGGAUGAGUAGAACCUCCAAAUUAGGAAGUUACUUAAGUGGGAGACAGCAGAUCUGCCUGUAUGUUAAUCUCUCUUAGUUUCUGCACUAACGAAGACAAAACCUUAGCAGCUAAAUACAGCAGGAACGCAUGACCUGCUGCUGUGGUCCUGGCUGCAGGUGGUCUUGACUGGUUGUGACCUUGACAUUUCUCUGGCAUUUGGGUCCCUCAGCCUGCAGAACAUCCAGCCAUAGAUAGGAGAGAAUGGGCCUCUUUCUUCAACCUCUGAUUUGUGACUACUUCAUAUAGAUAACCAGUCUCAGAAGUGAACCCAGUGGACACAACUAGGUCAAGAAUGGCUGGCACACCAUGCCAAGAAGAAUUUGCAUUAUGGUAGAAUGAGGCCAAGAAAGAAAUAACUAUACUUAAACCAUCUUACUCUUCAGAUUACAGUGGCAAAUGCAUGUUUAUAUGAGAGAGAGGGAUGGAUACAGUCAAUGUGUACUGUAUGUAAUUGUCAAAGAAUUAAUAAAAUAUAGGAGUAUAGGAAAGCAUUGCCUUUCGUGGUUGUUGUAAAGUUUUCUUUUGGUUACUGCAUGUGUGGGUGUGCAUGCACUGUGAUGUGCCUGUAGAGGUCGGAGAACAACUGUUGGGAUUUGGUUUUCUCUUUCCAUUGUGGGAUCCAGGGAGUGACCUCAGGUCACCAGGCUUGUGUGGCAGGCACUGUUAUCUGCUGAGCCAUCUCACCUGUCUACUGUUUUCUGAGACAAGGUCUGCCUUGCAACCCAGCUGGCCUGGAACUCAGUGCAUAGGCCAGCCUGGAUUCAGACUUGUGGGCGAUUUUCCUGAUUGUGCCUCCCAAAUGCUGCGAUUGUAGUCCUGCUCCACCGUACCUGGUUUUGAGAUUGCCUUUUACAUUUUUGUUUCUGGCUUUAGUUCAAGGAGCAACAAAGUUUCUCUAAAAAGAAGAAGUUGGGGGCCCUGUUGAUCAUCCAUUGUACAGUUCCCCUUAAAAAUGUAUAGUCACUCGUGCCUGCUGGGUCUGGAAAAUAAUUAGCUAUUAAAUUUUUAAAACUAAAGAGCUAGGUUUAAUGAUUUGAAGCCUGAGCCAUCCUAAAUAUACCUAAAUUCAAAUGUACUGAGACAUCCUGCUUCUUACUUUGACAUGUUCAUCCUAUCUAUCUAUCUAUCUAUCUAUCUAUCUAUCUAUCUAUCUAUCUAUCUAUCUAUUUUCUGGAACCCACCAAGUAGGCUGCCGGUGAGCUUCAGGCAUCUAGCUGUCUCUGUUUCUCCAGUGUUGGAAUUACAAGUGUGUGCCACCAUGCUUGACUUUUUCCUUUGGGGGACUCAGGUCCCCAUGCUUACUGUACACUUAGCUGACCAGGCUGUCUUCCCAGCCCCUAGUGAUACUUUAUUGUAGAGUUAUGGCACUAUACCUAGACUUGUCAGUGUUUCAAGUUUUGAAACAGUUCAUCUGGUUUAGAAAAGGUUGAGUUCUGACUCUUAACUAAUGUCACUUUAAUUCUCUUCAUUCUAUGGGACUUUAAUUGGACCCAGGCUCUUUAAAGUGGUUUUAUUUCUGUCUGCUAAUAUUAUAGAUCACCAAAUAUAUUACGUAGAAAAACUUGUAAAAUUAUAGUUAGAUUUGGAACUUUUUAUAUACUAAAAUAUUCUGGAUACUAUUCGAUAUCUGUGUUAGUAACUCUUGGGGAUGGCUUAAAAUUAUCUGAAAAUUCCUUACAAAGGUGUUAAUUACCUACGUGUGACUUAAGUGUAGAACUAAUGCACUGUUGAAAUAGUCAGUUGUGUUUUAGAAGUUCAUAGUCAAGUCCAAAAGAUAUUUAAAAAACAGGCACCUACCAUUCCAGAAAGGAAGUUUUUAACUGCUGUUGAAAAGCACCCUCUCUACUAAUUCUCUACUAAUAAUAGGUUACAUUUUCUGUGAUUCUUAAAUGGCCUUUAAAACUGGGUCACUGACACAUGAAAAUAAUAACUAUAUAUUUACUUAGUAGCUAUUUAAUAAUUAAAAUUCCUUUAUGUAAUAUACCACCAAUGAGCCCACAUAGGGCUCUAGAUGAAAAUUCUUGUUUCUUUUAAGAAGUCAAUUUGUGACCUAUGUGGGUAAUAAGAUCUUCUCAGAUAUGAGGGUCAACUGCAAAUUACAUAAUGAGAGUAGCAAACAUAUACCAGAAAUUUUGGCAGAUUGUGGUAACAUGUAAGGUAGGAAACAUUCAUUGCAGGAAUUAGGGUCCUUGUAAAAAGUAUUUUACAAGGUCUUGUUGUGUCAUGCAUUGGGGGAGUGGGUAGGACAGGCCAGAAAUUGAGACCCAUUUUUGUGCUUUAGAUAUAAAUUACAGUGGGGGUAAGCUGCAGGCUGUAGUCUUGUCUUAUAUACAUAAAAGAAAGAUGGUUCAUGAGACGGGACUUGAAUUUGCAUGGCUGUUUGCUGGCACACAGAUAGGUGCUGUGUUUUGGAAGGAAGUCAGAAUGCUCAUUAGUCUGGUAGAUGAAGGAAGUGUAGUGUAUGGAGCCAAAGAACCAUGAUUACUUCCGGAGUGAAAUAGUAGAUUAUUAGAAUUUUAAAAAGGGGUUUGAAUACUCACCCAGAUUUGAAAUGAGUAUAUAUUAUGAACAAACUCAUUUUCUUUCUCCUUGUCUUAGAGGAGAGGCUAAAUCACCUUGCAUGUAUGAGACCACUUUGCUGUCCCACAAGGUGGCUAUGAGGUUUUGAGAAGGUUGUAGUAGCUCAUGGCUGGAUAUUUUCCUUCCUUCUCUGCUUGACUGGCAUUCAUGGAAUAGGGUCAUGAGAAGACCCGAUGAACUUGCUGGAGACUUGAGGGGAGAGCUGUAAUUGGAAGCACACUCCAGUCAGGGUAUCUGCUCAGUGGUCAGUGUCACCUCCAAGGCGAUUAAGCAGCAACUGAAGAAGGCACUUUGUGUUCCUUGCAAGUUGCAGGCACUUUGUUCUUGUAUCAAAGAACAGAACAGAAUACCUAAUUAUAAUAAUCUUGUAAUAAUUACAAUAUUUUGCAUUCAUUUUCUCUUAAGAGUCUAUUUGAGUAAGUACUAGCCUUCAGAGGCUGUUGGCAAAUAGUGUUUAGGCAGCCGCUGGCAGCUCCGGUGUCGAGCGUGGAGCGCCCUGCUGCAGGAAGGUUUAGUUGGUCAGACACUUGAUUUCUUUGCUGCUGCACAACUGUUUUGGGAAGGGGUGUACAGCACAGGCUUUUACACUUGUUGUGAAUAUGUGGAGUGUUGCUCGCCAUCUGGGAGAAGAGUGAGUGCUGAACUCCCAAGAGUGGUGGUGCUGGAGACCCACACCAUUCGGCAUUAUCUUCCCUCAUAGGAGGGUGGCUGACAGCAGUUGUCAUUUUGCUUCAUCAGAGGUUUAACAAUUGGGCUCCAUGGGCAGGCAGGUUUACAGAAGGGACAGGACGGUUACACUGUUUUCAGGCAGUAGUGUCUUAACUUUUUAAGUGAGUGACUUUCAUAAUGCUUAUUGACACUUGGUAUUUUUAUCUUUGGUAUCUGAACGUUUGUCCGCAUGCAUGUAUGUGCACCAUGUACAUGCCUCAGUUGGCUCCCCUGGUGCUGGAGUUAACGAUGGUCAUAAGCUGCCAUGUGUUUGCUGAGAACUUAACCCUGGUCCUUUGCAAAAGCAACACAUGCUCUUAACUGCUGAGCAUCUCUUGCCAAAACUUAGCAUUUAAAAAAAAAAAGUGAUUUUUUUUUUUUAUAAUUGAGACAAAAAUACCGAGUUGCAUAAGAAUAAAAGAAGAAAGUCCUUUCCUAUCAUGAAGAACCUCAUGGAAACUACCAUUGGCAGAAAGGGGUUGUGAGCCACCUCCCUCAUAUUUUUAAUAGUGUGUCCUAUCAAAAAUUAUAUAUCUGACUAUUUUUUUCCUUUGUUUUUUUUUUUCGGAGCUGGGGACCGAACCCAGGGCCUUGCGCUUGCUAGGCUGACUAUUUUUUAACAUUUAUUUUUAAUAUUUUAAAAUUUUUAUAUGUGUGAAUGUUUUGCCUGGUUGUGGGUCUGUACACUGCUUGUGUGCCUGAUGCCCAUGGAAGCCAGAAGAGGGCAUUGGAUCCCCAGAAACUGGAGUUAAUAGAUGGUUGUAAGAUAUCAUGUGGGUGCUGGAAACCCACUGGGUCCACUGUAAGAGCAGUCAGUACUCUUUAACCACUGAGCCAUUUCUCCAGCCCAUAUCUGUAUAGUUUUGAGUUGAAUUCAUCAUUGAAAUAGACUUGAUUGUGAACAUAAUUCGUUGUCAUAGGCUGCAGCAUAGGUAAGGAACUGGAAGAGUAAGUUGAAGAAAGGCAUAGAAGAUUCAUAGUCCACAUAUGAGUGGGCUUACAAAUUUAUAUUUAGGUUCUUCCUGUGCAAAGCACUGAUGCCUACUGCAUAUCUUAGACCAUUUCCAAGUAAACGGUUGGUAGACUAGUGACUUAAGUGUCAUUAUGAGAUUUUACAUGACUGAGGAAAUUCAGUCUGGAAGAGCUACACUAGCUAUGGGCUGCUUGCUGGAUUCAGCCUCUUUGGAAGCAGCGUUCUUACAGUAAAUGUUUCCCAUCAGUCAUGUGUAGGACUAUAUUUAUGAGGUCUUUCUUUGGAGUCUGCAUUCUUUCUGACAUUGCUCAUGCUUGUACCUGGAGAUAUUACUAAAGAAAGAGAAGAGCUUCACAAUUUAAAGUGGAUUUAUGUGAAUACUUUUCUAUGGUAAAGAAAAAGCAACAGUAAACAGCAAACAUCACAAAACCCCACCUCUUUGUCAUCACCUCCGUGGCAACAGUAGAUUUUGUUUGGAAGCAGGCAUGGGUUGUGGAGAAUACCCCAAACCACUGUGACAACCUGGCGGCUUCUUUGAGGAGCUCGUGUUGAGAAAUGUGGCGGUGCUGUCACUAAGUAUGCUUUGUCCCAUCUUGGUCAUUUGGAAUUGACAGCCUGUUCUGUGGACCAGUGUGCACUUUCUCUGUACUGCGUUCAGCACCAUUAACAAGAGCAUCUGCCCGCUGUUUGGGUUAUGUCUCUGUGGCUGCAGGGUCCAGUUGGUUUGUGUGCUGUACAGUGCUCUGGUUCCUUAUUUGUAUUUUCUAAAGUUCUUCUGUCCACUGUGGAACAAGGUUUGUUGAACUUCCUGUUUUUCCUGUAGUAUGAGUAACCCGUGCUUCUGGUCAGCCUCUAUUUUCUUUCUUAUUUUUGAUGUAUUGUGCCUUUGAUGAAUGGCCCCUUAUUGAUAAGAUAAAGCUCUACAUUUCACCUUCCGUGGCUUACUGAUACUGGACGUAUAUUUUAGAAAUCUCUUUAAAGUCUUUACAUACUAAAAACAGUAGCCUUCUUAGGCACUCUUUGUUAAUCUUGAAUGGACUUACACCCCCUAUGCCUUGUAUUCCUUAUGCUGGUGUCUGCUGGUGUUUGUUUUUGUUGUUGAAAGUCCAAAUGUCUGAGGAUUAUGCUCUCUCUGUAAAUCUGAAUCUCUUCUUCAGGGUUUGCUUGUGUUUUGGUUCUGUUUUUUGAGGAUUAUCACUUUCCCUCAUACUCUCUUGACUUUAAGGUGUGUUUGUUCCUUGUCCUGUGUGGUUAAGGGUUGCUUGGAAGCUUGUGGUGUGGUUAUUGUUGUAUUGUUUUGGAUUUCAGUGCCAGAGAUUGAACCUACAGUCUUGACUGUAAUAGGCAAGCACUGGACCAUGGACUAAGUUGCCCACAGUGACUUUAAGCUUGCUCUUUAGACUAGUCUAGCCUUCAGUUUAUAGCUAUUUUGUCUGAGCAUGCAAAUAAUCAGAAAUGGGAAAAAAAAUCAAACAAGUAACACCUAAAUCUCUCUGUCUUUGCUAGUUGGCUCUUUAUGGGUCUACUUUGAGCAUUAGACAGACUGACGUGUGGUAUAAAUGUAACCUAAGGUGAAACCCCAAUCUCCUCAUGCUGCUUCUGAGCCUGUACCUGCUCUGAGCAUGUGUGUGGUUCUUGAAAUCCUCCCAUGUGUUUGCUGCUUUUGCCCUAAUUCCCAAGGACAUCCUUGUCUUUUCCUUUUGAGGUCUCCUGGAUCUGUCUUAUGUCUCAAUUAUGAUGCUUACUUACGUCAGGUAAUUCUGAUUAGUGCCAGCCUUUCUUCAACUUGGAUGGGUUUGGGGUUAGAAACGAAGCAGGUUUUUGUGACAGACUAGAACAGUUAACUGAAUAACGGGAUAGGAAGGUCUGUUCUACUCCCAUUGGUACCUGGAAUUAGAGUCCUAGUCAGGGAACAUGGGCAGCUGCUCCAGGUGAGCAAGACAGAUGAGAACACUGUAAACUUGCUUAUUAUUUUUAGUUGAUUUUCUUGACUACAGCUUCUGUCAGUUGCUUAGCGCUUGACUGAUUUGUAGAACUCUGAUAGACGGUCGGCUCCUUCCUGCUGUUUCACACGGGGAGGCUGCACACUUGUAGCUCUUGCCUCUGCUUUCUCCCAGCAUCACUCUGUCAGACUGCAGGAGUUCUUUCCAGAAAGCUCAGAAACAUUUGCAUCCUAGACUGAGAUGCUCAGAGCCUUUUCUCGUGACUGGGAGAAUCACCCAGCUCUGAUUUUCAUUAUACUUUUUUUUUUUAUCUGAAUGCUAAUAUUGAUAUUUUCUGUCUUAAAUAGAGAAAUGUUAGAAGUAAAGAAGCUUUGAUUCUUAGUUCAUUCAGGGUGCCAUAACAAAAUGUUACAUUGGAAGCGGGGGGUUGCAUAUGACCAUGAGAUGUCAAGGUUUUGACAGAUUUGUUUGGUGUCUGAUGAGGAUCUACUCUUUGGUUUUUACUAAUUACUCGGUUUCAGGUGUUCUGUUACAGCACCAGAAAUGGACUAUGAUUACCAAGAGUUUGAGGCCCUUGGAUGAGAGAGCAGUGCCUACUACCCCUCGGGUGUUUGUGGGCUGCUUUUGUUCUAGGUGGACAUUUGGUGUCCUUUCAGCCUACUUGGUGCAAAGAACAACUUAGCUCUCUCGGGACUCUUCUCUAAGGGCACUAAUCCCAUCCACUGGGGUUCUGCCGCUUACAGACCUUGCCUCUUAAGGCGAUAACUUUGGAAUUUUGGCGAGCUACAGAUAUUCAGACCACAGCCAAUGACCAUGUUUUGAGGUAUUUUUCUGCUUUGAAAAUGCAUUUCCAAAAUGACCCAAGAACAAGUCAUUAUGUACAAAUUUUUAGUUAUGUUUUUAUUGGUAAAACUUAAGUGCAGCUACAGUAUUAUUUUGUCUGUUUGGUGGAUGGCAUUUGUAAUUAGUUUGAAGAUGGGGAAAGUUAGAAUGGUUUGGCCGUGUUUGUCACCACUGUGUGCAAGCUUCUGAGGACUUUCUGCCUUCAUGAUGAGACAGUACAAAGCUGUUCACGGGGGGAAGACAGAGUCUCAUAUUUCAUGUGAGGGAAAUGUCCGUGCCAUAGGUUCAGUGUCCCCAAAGAGUUGUACCAAAGUUCACUUGCCAGUGUGAUGGGGUUGGGAAGUGUUUAGUUCCUUUUCUUGUGCUUGUGGUACAAUAACCAACAAAGCCAACUUAAAGAGGAAGGGUUUAUUGGGACCCAUGGUUUGAGGGUGCAGUUCAUCAUGGUGGGGGGAAGCGUGUGUGUAGAGUCAUGUGAGACAGCUGGCCACAUUGUGUCUACAGUUAGCAAGCAGGGAGAGGGGAAUUCUGGUAUCUGCUUACCUGCUCCUAUAUUCAUUUGGAGAGCUGAGUCUAUGGGAUAGUGCUACUCACAUUUAGAGUGGGCCUUCCUCCUCAGUUAAUGUCUCCGGGAACCUCAGCAGAGACUCCCAAUAAUCACACUGACAGUCAAAAUUAACUGGGAAGAAGCUCAGUAAAUGUGUGUUGUUGAUGUGGCAACAGCCUGUCAACAAAAUGUCAGACCUAGACGGUUUACAAACCCUUCCUGGGGUGAGGCUCAACCUUCUUUUGGUCCAAAUCGGAACUUUGGCAGUGUAAAUAAGAACUAGCAGCCACAGUCUUCUCCCUAAGGAUGACAGAACAAGAUGUCUCUCUACAAAGACCUCCUGCUGAGACUAGUUCGCUUCUCCUUCUGGUCUGUACAGAAUAGAGGCACUGAGAUUCCAGGAUGUGCGAGGUUGUUGGUAUGUCUCCAUCAGAUCUGGAACAUCCUACCUGGACCCAGCUUUUCUAUAUGUGUGUCUAUUCUGUUUUUGUUUUUGUUUCUGUUUUUUUUUUUUUUUUUUUUUAAUUCCCUCAAGGCCAGAAAGACUUCCACGACCAAGCUGGGCAAUUAACCAUCCCGGAAACCAAGACUAUAGAAGGUUGACCAAACCACGCAGGGUAUGGCACUUACAUUACAGAAAGUGAGACUUGUUAGGCAGUCCAUGUGAAUAUACUAGUUCAUGUGGGACAUUAUGUUUGAGUGGGCUCUGUGAAAGCCGUGUUCCUUCUCUUGACCUGGCCCGUGUUUCCUGCCUUUCUGCCUGACAAGCUACAGCAGCAAGUUUCUUGCCAGCUACCACUGCCAGGCUCUCGGACUUCUCAGCUUCCAGAACUAUGAGCCAAAUCAUUUUCUAUUUAUAAGUUUCCCAGUCUCAGAUAUUCUGUUAUAGCAACAGAAAUAGAUUAAAAUAGACCAUCUUAAUGGAAGUUUAAGGUCUUUAGAUGAAAGAAUAGUGUAUAUUGUUUUUCUGGUGAUUCCUGGCUACUUUUGUCCUUGAUGAAGCAUUUCAUGUACUGUAUCGGGAGUCACUGUUAAUUUCCAUAAGUAUUAUGUAUGAAUUAACAUGCAUUUACACUGAAGACUGAGUUGGAGUGGGGAGGGGAAUGGGUUGCAAAUAAAUUGUGACCCUAGUAUGGUGUUAGUGAAUAUCCUCCUCUCAGCUAUCUCUCUUCAUCCUGUCUGGUUUGUUUAGGUCGGUGUAAACCGAACUAUAAUUUGGUAGAAUUUCCCCUAAAGCUACAAGUAGUAGUUGACCUGGCUUCCCUGCUUAAGAUAAUCAUAGGAGGUUUGGUACAGGUUGGACUACUUAGUUCUGGCAUGCUUAUUCCAGGGGUUGCUUAUAUCCAAAGCUGUCUUAACCUGUUGCUACCUCAACUUCCUUGAUGUCCUAAAGCACGUCAUCUUGUUGGAGCCCCCUACUGGUGAGGCAAAGUGGGCUGUAGGUAGAUGUAGUUACCUGAAAGUGUCAGUGUAUUGUGCCCUAAGGAAGUGGUGGUGUUGGUGUAGAAGGCAGGUCUCAGGUGUCCAGGGCUGUCACAUUUGACAAGUGGGUGGUAAAGAAUCGUGGAGUCAGUGGAUGGGAAAGAAGAGGCCACUUAGGGUCUAAGAUCUCCACUGUUACAGCAUGUGUGCUUGUUUGUGUGUCUUCCUUUGGAUUUGGACAUAUAUUGCAUAUUAUUUUAUUCUUUGUGAUGCUGGGGAUUGAUUCUAGGGCCUUGUGUUUAGUAGGCAGGCACUCCCCUCCUGGGCUAUAUACUCCAGCCAGCCCACUGUCUCUUUUGAAAUAGUGACUUAAAACAAGAACCUUUGAAUUUUGGCUUCAUUCUUUUUCCUCCCCGUCUCUUCAUCUCUUUGGUUUCCCCUGCAGGAACCCAUAGGAGAGAAGACUAAGGCUAGCUUAACUAUAGGGCCAGGUUCACGGGGAGGAAAGGGCUAAUGACAGUUCUGAGUGAGUACUGGGAAGUCUGAACCCCAGGGGCAGGGAGGAGCCGAGCAAGUCUAGUAAGUUCUCUAGUAAUUGACCUCAUUCCUAGCUUGGCUGGAUGGUACUCAGUCGCAGAGUUUGAGACUGAAAAGGAUCAGAGAACUGUGGACUCUGCUUGAGGCACUUUCAAACCUCACCGCUCUCCUAGAAUUGAAGCUGAAGCCUGCGGGAUGAUUUGACUUUCUGGCCCUGAAUAGGCAGAGUCAGCGGGGAGUCGGGUAGGGAGCAGAGCUGGCCUGCUGCUCUUGCUUUCCCCACUGUAGACAGCAGCAUUGCAGGCAGACAGGAGCAUGUUUCCUUCCACAUUAGCCUGUGAGCGAAUUUACUAAGGUAGUGGGGCUGUUAGUGAAGGUUGUCCUUUUGAGAUUUCUAUAUAAUGUUGUCCAAUGGUGCACACAGUGUAGUGAUGACUCAUGUGAAUGACACAGGCUUCCUAUAGUGAAGGCUCCUCCUAUGAGUGCUACACAGCUAUUGUGAAGUCCUCAUUAUUUUUCCUCCUGAGGGCCUGUCUUUUGUUAUUUUAUAAAACAUUUUUUCUUUAAAGUGUUUCAAUCAUUAAGUCUUUGUCAUACUGAAUUAAGAGUAGUUUUUCCUUUCCGUUAUUAGUAUACCAGACUACCACUCUGAAACGCUUGAUCCUUAAUUAGCUGGCAAGGCAGGGAAUUCAAUCUUCGCAUCUAAAACUUGGAAGCAUGAAGCAAGAUAGUAAGACUAUGGUGACUCUGUUGAAGCCAUGUGCAACCUUUUCAAGUAAUAAAAUAAGCUUUUCAGGUGAGUGUAGUAUUGGACAGUGUUCUGUGUAGACUGGGCACCAGGGUCUGGUGGCUUUGUCUUCAGGACCUGACGGUGAUUCUGCCAGACAACUGCUGUUUGUCUCACACAGUUCAGGUAGCCUUGAGUCUGUGCUGCUGGAGACCCCUUUGAAGGCCUUCACCUGUCUUUUCCCUUCCAGAAAGGAGUGGAAACUGUAUAGUGGACCUGUGAUAGAUUGUUAGGUUCAGUUUUGAGUCCCUAAAGAAAUAGAGACGUUAGUGCUGAGAAUUGUGAAGCCAGCCUUAAUGGAAAUAAAGACAGCAGAUGAAAGAGUUCCUUUGUCUUCUCUUGGAAUCCAAGGGUGAACCUUACGUGUAGGCAGAGAAUCGGUAGACACCGACCCCUCCCACACUCUAGAAACUCUUUGCUAACUUACAAGAAAAGUAUGCAGACACUCGGGCGGGCACCUUCCCAGAGUCGCAUGCUUGCUGUGCUCUGCAUGUUGUACAUGCUACGGUGCCUGCGUGGCUUCAUGAGUCUUCAUUUCUGUCUGUUGCCUUUGUUUCAUCAUGUUCUCUAUUGAUCCAGCAAAUUGGUUUAUUUGGGUCAAUUGAGAGUAGUUACCUAAGGGAACUGUAAAUAUUGAACUCAGUCAUUCAUGUUGCUUAACUAAGUGCUGGGAGUUAGUUACAAUUCUCUGGAUACUGUGUAAUAAUCUAAUUCAGAAAUUAAUUCUGGUAACUAGCAAGACUAUGGUCACACUGUGUCAGUUUUCUGGUCACUGAGGUUACAGCUGUGUACACAUUGUAGGAGCACUCACCUUGUCUUUGACAGAUCAGCUCACAUUUAUGUUAUGUUCAAGCUGCAGUGAUUGGUAGUAAUGUUAUUGAAUUAUGGGUAGUGAGACCAGUUUGCUUAGGACUGCUUAGGAAACUUACCUACUUAGAGACGGAUUAGGAGUGCAUUGUGUGGUUGGCAGGAGUAGCCACUGCAGAUGUGCUGCUGGUUGAGAAGCAGCCGGUCAGCUUUUGACUUGGUUACUCAUUGACUUCUCUUUCUUUCUGAAUGAAAGCAGUUAGGUUUAACUGAAGCUGACUAAGAUAAGAACGAGAAGCUUUGUUCAGAAGAUGUGUGUGUUGGACAAAGCUCUGGAAAGCUUUCCUUGCAAGACUGUUGUCCUGGCAGCAGCUCAUUCAUUAUUCUGGAGCACUGGGUGCCUUUUUCUCUAUGCCCCAGCCUCCAGGAGUAUCUGUCUGCUCUGCAGAGGCAGUAGCCACUUAGCUAUAACUCUGAGUGGGAUGGGUAAGUUAGCAACAUGCCUGGGUAUUAUUUGAAAUCAGAGAUGGGGAGGCCUCCAGAUCUUUCAGGGUGGACCAUUGUCUUUAAUUUUUCUAAAGCUCCUUAGCACCAGUUUAUUUUAAUAUUAUAUUGGCAGAAAUUUUUCUUAAGAUCUUAUAUGGAUUCUGUACACUUUGGCAAAAUCUUGUAAAUCCCUUUAAUGCAAAUAGAAAAAAGAUCUUGCUGGAUAUGGUAGCCAUGUUUGUAUUCCCACCACGUAGGAAGCUGAAGUAGGAAGAUGGUGAGUUCAAGGUCAGUGUGGGUUACAUAGUGUGAGAUGCCAUCUUAAACAAGGACUGAGUAUAGCUCAGUGGUAGAUCCUGAGUUUGACCUGUCUGAUGGAGGUUGUUCAUGUAUUUCUGUUUUAAUAAUAAUAUUGAAUAUAUUCGAUAUAGUAUUUGAUAGUAACUGUUGUCAUUUCCCUUCUAAUAUUGACCUCUGAUUAUCAGUUAUAUCCUCCCUUCCGUUUAGUGUUUUUUGAAUAUGGUCUGCACUCUCCUUCCCAGCACGGCUUCUGUGCAGCUAGCUAGACCUGUAAUUUUAAGCCAGCAUUAUUUCUUGGCUGAUGGGAGCUAUCAAGAACUUUAAAAGGCUAACUUGUGUUUUUUGAGGUAAGGACAAAUAUGAAGCAGAAGGAGUAUUGGAGUAUGGGCAAGCUUAAAAAUAGAAAUAAAAUAAAGUUCUUGCUGGGAGAUUUUCAAACAGCUCUUAGGUCAACAGCUUUGAAAUGAGGUUGUCUGAUUAGGAUUCACUUUCUGACUGCUCUGUUACCUUGCCCUCUCCUCUGUGCUUCCUGGUAUGGCCUCACCUUUCAGGGACUGUUGUGUUUACAUGGGUGGAAUUAAAUCAGAUUGUUCUCUGAAUGAUCUGGUACUAAGUUAAAUUAUUGCCACUCUUUAAUGUCUAAAUAGUAAGAAAAUUAUGUUCAAGUUUGGUUCUUUUUACACAGCUAAUGUGUAGCCUUAGAAAAUACAUUUCUAAAGUAAAUAUAAAUAUUUUGAAAUGUGGUAAUCUUUUUAUAUACAUACUUCUGUCGAAAAGUGGCAUUGUGAUUACAUUUUCAUUAGUAUGUGCUAGUGUGGGUUAGUGUUUAAUAAACAUAGUUUAAAUUGGGACAUAAUGUGCAGCCGAUGAAACUGAGUUCUGCCAUGUGGAGGGCUGAGUUGUUGAUACUUUCAACAAAAAACAGAGAAGAGAAAUGGAAUAGUGUUCUUUUGCUUACUUUUACUCUAAGCUUUUGAAUACUUUGGGGACAAAAGUUGUUUUCCAGUACUCAAUGAACAAGUCCAUUGUUGAGGAAGAAAGGACACUGGGAAGAAUGUCCUGGGGAAGUUAGGGACUGCACUUGUUUCAAGGGACACUCACAAAUUGAGUCGGUUUUUUUUUUUAUUCCUUGGAGGAAUCCUAAUGCCAUACGUGCCUUUAAAUUAAGCAGAGCAACAUAAGACUGCUUUUAUUGGGUACAGUAAACAAAACUUUUUUUAAUUUCCAUUGCAGUUAAUGGAAGGGGAAAAAAUAACAGCUUUCAGAGUUGGAAAGUAUUCAGAAAUGUCAUUCUGCCCCGCUCCCUUUUCCAGUCCGCAUUCUAGCAAGGUGAUAGACAACAGUUACUAGAAAGAAUCCUCUCUUCCUUGUCUGGCUGAAAGUACACUUCAGUUUGACUUGUGAAUCUGUAAUCGCAAUCAUGAAGAGUCACACAGCCAUUAAGAGUGUGUACAGCUCUUGCAGAGGGCCUGAAUAUGCUCCCAGUGCCCAUGUCUUAUGGCUUGCUGCUGCCUGUAACUCCAGCACUAGGACAUCUCACACCUCUGCCUGUCCUGUGCAGGCACCCACACAUACAGAAUAGUUAAAGUAAAACAAAUCAUUUAAAAAGGAUUAUACAGGCCCUUAGUGUCUUUAGGUCAGUAUCUCCGUUGGCAUGCAGCCACACUGUGUGUAUGCUGCUGCUGAGGGACAUGGUGGAGGAGGAGGGAGCACACCUGAGCCCAGCUCGUGGACACUGCCUUCAGUGUGCCGCAGAGGUGGACCAAGUUGCUCUUCCCGCCUUACAUUUUGACAGAGUUUCUGUCCCCUCUGCUUUAUAGUGUUUUAGCCUUGUUGUGUUGUUGUUGUUGUUAUUAUUAUUAUUAUCUGCUUCCAUUUGCUUUUAUUUAUUCUUCUUUCUUAAUGUUGUCUGGCAGUCAGCUUAGGGAGGUACUGGCAAAUGUUUUAUAAAGUAGCUGUGUUCACACGUGCUUCAGAUGGCUCUGUGUCAUUGCUAUGCCCACAUUUAUUUCAUUGUACCACGCUGCCAUAUUACCACAUCUCUGUUUGAUUUAAAGGUUUUUUGAUUUCAGAAUUUGAUCAUAAGUCUUAGGUGAACAAGAGGGCUCAUCAGUGUGGACUUUAAGAUCAUUUUGAAGUUUACAAAGUAAAUAUACUAGGGUUUUACAUCAACUUUGGUUGAAUUUAAAUUGUAGAGCUUUCUGGUUUGGAGUGGCACUUGUUUUUCCAAUUGCUUUGAUGUGUCUUUUCUGGGCCAUAAUUGAGGUAGGUGGUUGGUGUAGAAACGUUCUAUAAUGAGUGGAUUCCCUAUGUUAUGCUUUUAGCAUAGUUUCAAUAUUUUCUUUUUCUGGCUUCUAAAACUUCAAGCUUAUCUAUUUUCAUUUGUACUUAGCAUUGGCAUUACAUUUUUUAAAACUUUCUUAUGCUACACAUUUAAUUACUUUUAGAUUUUUGAUGUGGUUUUCAAUUUGAUUAAACAUUUGUAGCUGUUGUAUAAUGCUAUAUCAGAUUUCUCCUUUGCCUGAUCACCAUUUGCAAACAAGUGUUUUACAUUCUAUGAGGUUAAUGGACUUUGUUGUGCUAUAACUCUCCAGCUUUGUUGCAUAGUGAUCAACAUGCUAGAAUCUUUUGUAAUCUAUUAAUAGCUUUUAUUGCUCUAGUAUCUGUUGAAAUUCUCUGUUGUGAAUUUUUGAAUAGAGAUGCAGCUGUCUUUGUGCUGUGGUUAAUGUGGUGAUAUGUGUGUCCUUACAGUUGUUUACUUCUAAGUUUGCUUGUCUUUCACUAUUACAGUUUUAAAUAUAUACUGUGUACUACAUUUUCAGCAGUUUUGUUGUCUAGAUCUGGCUGUUAAGUCACUAUAUUCCAGGUACCCACACAAAUGUUUCUCUAGUUCUGGAGGUUGGAAGUCUGAGGGGAAGGCCUCUGCAUGGUCAGAUUCUUGGUGAAGGCCUUCCUGGCUCACAGACUGAUGGGGAGGAGCAAGACUCAGCUGUAGUAUCGUCUCCUCACCUCUGAAAGGCCCCACCUCCUAAUCCACACUGGCCACUAGCAUUUCAGUAUCUGAAUUAGGGAGCAUAUUUAAACUGUCAGUUCCAAAUGAUAUGUCUCCUCCACUUUCCGAGUGUCUCCUAGUGGUUCUUUGUGUUCAGGCAACCAAUGCCGUGCUUCCUCUCUGAGGUGCCCCUUUCUCUCUGAGGAGCCCAGUCCAGAGUUUUCUUUUUUCUUUUUUUCAGAGCUGGGGACCGAACCCAGGGCCUUGCACUUGCUAGGCAAGCGCUCUACCACUGAGCUAAAUCCCCAACCCCCAGUCCAGAGUUUUCUAGCAGUUUCUUCCAGUUGGGUUUCUUUGACUUGGUACAGUUAUUUUCAAACGUAUUCAUGUUAUGUGGGGUUAUUAGUUCAUUCUUUUUAUGAACUGUUAUGAAUGGACAGGUCUCAACAUUUGGAAAGAAGUCUGUGUAGACGUAUGCUUUGUUUCUUCUAGGGAAAUGCCUAGGAGUGGGGUCAUAUGGCAGAUAUAUGUUAAAAGUUUUAAGGAAUCACCAAACCAUUUUCCAGAAUGGUUGAAGCAUUUUUUGUUUUUCAGCGGUAUAGAGACUGGGUACUUGCUUCAGUUUUGCUGAAGGCUGUCAUUAAAACAAACAAAAGAGUCCCCAGCUUCCUUUUCUGAAAUGGUAGAGAUUUCUUUUCUCCAGUUCUGGAGUUGAGUCAGGCCAAGAGCAGAGCGCACAGAGUUGUUUUUCCCCUGACCUCUGCUUGACUCGCCUGUGGUGUCCUCUGCCCGCCUGUGGUCUCCUCUGCUGCAUGCUCCUGGUGCCUUUGUUCUGUUCUCUGGGGUUCUUUUUACGUGAGAUUCUUUCCCGUUUUGGACCUGACACACCCAUCUCUUCCAUUUCUCUCAUCCUUCUUAGUGUGUCUUCAUUGUCCUUUUGGUCAUCAUCUCUCUAGGAUGAUUUUUUUUUUUUUUUUUGGUUCUUUUUUUUCGGAGCUGGGGACCGAACCCAGGGCCUUGCGCUUCCUAGGUAAGCACUCUACCACUGAGCUAAAUCCCCAGCCCCUUAGGAUGAUUUUUUUUAAGUUGUAUAUUUUUGGUGGCUUUGCUAUGAGGAUAUUUGCUCUUAUAGUGUCUUUUCUUUUAUAACAACUUUGUGGAAUCAGACUUAGUAUUUUUGAUUCUCAUUUUUAUGUACAGUGUGUUCGUCCCCUGGGAAGGAAUGGAUGUGUGUGUGUGUGUGUGUGUGUGUGUGUGUGUGUGUGUGUGUGUGUGUGUAGUCUUUGACCCUCUAGGGCUGCUCCGUGGUGCUUCCUCACUGAAAUUUCCUGCUUUCCUUUUUUUGGGCUUUUACUCUGCUGCCCUGGUCUGGAACUCAUUGUGUAGACCAGGCUGGCCUUAAAUCACUGAAAUUCACCAGGCUCCUUUGAAACUCUUGGUUAUUAGUGUAAUCACCUCUUGCCUUAGCUGAAUUCUUGCUUAGCUUAAUCACCGCUCUCCUCAGUGUGUGUGGUGUGUGUGGGGGGUGGGGGGAGGAGAUGGAAAGGGGGAGCUGUUGUUUCCAUGUGAAUCAGACUACAUCAGGGAGAUCUAUAGCUGCACUCCCACCUCCAGCCUGUGUGCAGUGGGCUGAACACUGGACUGUGAGUCCCCGUGAGCACUGUUCUAUUGGGCUGUUCUGAGCUGGCCGACUUAGCACAGUCUGCCCUCCACACAGCCCUCUGCAGCCUGGUGCAGGGUCCUAGGCUGUGGCCUGUGACUAGCAUUUGUUCCUAUUUGCUGGUGUGUUGGUGUCCAUAAGAUUCUUGUCACUGAGUGUGUCAAAAAUGAUGAGUGUUGGAUUUUGUUACCUAGUUUUUUUUAUAUUUCAUUUGAUAAAAAAAAUUAUUCAGAGAGGUAAAGAUUUUUAUCUUAUAUCACAAACAUAAGAAUUUACUUUUAUUUUAAAUUAACAGCCUUGUCAAGAGGGCCAAGAGAAUAAAAUUGAUAAAGCUUUAAAAUGUGUAUUUAGUAUUAUUAAAUGUUAAUUAUUUUAUUGUUAAAUUUCUGAGCAUUGGAGAACUAGUUGCUUUUAUCAGUCACUAAUAACUAACUCAGGCUUCUCUGGAAUGUGGCAAGAAGCUGAGUGUGUACUCGUAUUAUUGAAAAUCUCAUUCUAAGGUCAUUUUCUAUGAGCUGCUCCACAUGCUGCAGCCUAAGAAGUGUUUCUGGCUCUGAAACAUACAUUAUUUGUUUUGUGUAUUUUUGCCUAAAGAACAUAGGCUAUUCACUUGCAGUAAAAUUAGACACUUUGUGGGGGUUGGGGAUUUAGCUCAGUGGUAGAGCGCUUGCCUAGCAAGCACAAGGCCCUGGGUUCGGUCCCCAGCUCCGAAAAAAAGAAAAGAAAAAAAAAAAUUAGACACUUCGUGAACCCAAGAACUAGAAACUUGUCAAUCACAAUUUCCCUGUUGCCAUCCACUUGAAAGACCCCUUUGAGAGUGUUUUAAAUAGAAGUACAUACAGAUUUAAUAAAAGUUAUCAGUCAUUAUGGCACUAGAUUAGGACUUAAUAAAAUUUCCCUUGUUUUCAUAUUAUUUUGUUUUUAAACUAUAAAACAAGUUCUAGUUAAUAAUUUAGUGUUUUUUUGUGUUAUAUGUUAACAUUUUUCUUUAUUUCUAACACAAAGGGUAUAGCUCCUUUUCUUUUAAUGGUAUAAUAGAAUUAAAUACCUUUUUAUAUCAUUAAAUCACAUUCUACAACAGAAUUUUAUGGAGUACAGUAUUUUAUUGUGUUUGUACUAUAGUGAAAUUUGCUGGCUUAUUAUUGGUCAUUUAGGCCCUUUCUAAUUUUUGCUGUUAUAAAUAACACCAUAAUAGACACUCUAUGGUGAUAGCAUCAUGUGUAUUCAUGUCCCUAGGUAAAUAAUUUGUGUAUUUAUGUUUGGAGGUGGGGGGAAUAAGAUAUGGAGGGUGAAUUCAAAUAGUUUUCAUAGAAUGUUUCACACUGUGUGCUGUUGUGCUAGUCAGCUUUUUCUUACCGGGACAAAAUACCUGAGAAAGAUGACUUAAGAAGGGACAUAGUUUUCCAGCUCCAUAAUUUCAGCCCAUGGUCAUAUGGAUCCUAGUAAGGUAGAAGACCAUGGCAGGAAGUAUGUGGUAGGGCAGAGCUCGCUCAUUUACAGGUGCAGGAGCAAAGCAGAAAACAUGACACUGGUACCCCUGCUUCGUCCAUGUAGACCCCACCUCUUAGUUUCUGUACCCCCCAGCCAUGGCCACACAUUGCAAAUCCUUCUGCGGAUUAAUGUGUUGACUAUCAAAUCUAGUCACUCACCUAGAACCUUACCUCAGCACUGUGUUGGGACCAAGCCUUAAACGUACACGGUUUGUGAGAAUGCAGUGAAACCUUUCUUAUAGUAUUUUGUCCAAUUAUAUUAUGAGUUUUUAUUCUUUUAUUGCACCUAAUUUAUUAUGUCAGAGGCCUGUCUAUAUACAGACAAAACAUGGUAUGUGAUGGGGCUUGAUACUUUGCCGUUUGGGCCAUGAUCGGGGUUGUUGGAGUGCUGCUGUGCUCACAGGGGAGCAGGGAGGACCGUAAGUAUAAAAUGAUGCGUACACCAUCCUGCCUGCAGGGGAGGAAGCCUGGUGACCAGUGGACAUGUGUGGAAAAAUUUCACUUUGGUCUGGUUCACCUGGAUUUUACUGUUACUUCACUCAAAAGUAAUUUUAAAAAAAGCUAUAUUAAAAUAAUAACUAACAUUUAUGAGGCAUUAUGUCCCAAUCAACAUCAUAACUUUAAAACAACUCAGAAAAAGUUUUUGCUAUGCCCUCUACUUUAAUAACCUUUCUUCCUUGUAUAUCCCACUAGUUUUUCUAGUAAACACAUUCAUACUCAGUUAUCCUCCUCCCCAUACAUAGAAAUAUAAAGAGACACAAUCCAGAUUGAAAAAGUGUGGUUGAAUUAUCUCUAUAGCAGAUUUAUAGGGGAAGGCAGGACAGUGAGGCUGUAGAGGAUGCUGGUCACUUGCUGAGAUGGACCAGGCUGUGUAAACACUGCAUUCAGUGCAGUGCCAAUUCUGGAAUGUUUCUUCAUUGAGAUUACAGCAUUGAACAGGAUCACCACAGUGAGACAAAGUGUUUCCUUGGGACAGAGUCUCUAAAACAUGGUACUGAAUUCUGUCACCAGGCUCUAUAUGUAAGGUGCAAUUAUACUGUGUAUGACGCCAUGAUGCAAAUUCUUACUCUUCUGCUCAGAAUUCAGGUAGUUUGACUGGAGUGCAUUUGACACCCAGGUGGUUUAUAUUAACAUUGCUACAGUCAUGUGAAAUGUAUGUAAAGGACUGAGGUUCUGACAUGACAGUGGCUUACUUAGUGGACAUGUACAUGUACAUGCUUUGAAAAGGCCCUUUCAGUCUUCAUUGGCAUCUUAUUCAGGCUAGACAUCUUGUGGCUGGUCAUGGAAGGCCCACAGUUGGCAGUAGUCUGAAGGAGACAGUGUUUUGUGAGCAGUUCUUAGUAGCACACUUAUAGGUACUGCCCAGAAUAGAGUUAGCCACAGUGUGUCUGCAGUGGCCUUUGACAGGUAACAGUGGAUGAAAAUAAGAAACCAGUUAUGAAUUAGUAAGUGAUUUUUUUGUUUGUUUUGUUUUUAAAGUCAGAGAGAGAAGGCCACAUAUUUGCCACAGUGGGCAGUUCUUAGACCUUGUCCUGAGGAAACUCAAAGACCUCACAGCUCUUGGGUUUAGACCUUGCACCACCUGCACCAGCUCUGUAUGUGCCACAUGUUUCUUGCCCUGGUCCUGAGAGUUUCAAGGAGGGUAGAAAAGUACUGGGAAGAGGGGAUGGGGAAGACAGGGCUUCCCUUUAAAAUCCUCCAUUGCUCUGAGUGUUGAUUCCUCAUAAAAUGUUGGACUUUGGGGAUUUAAAAAGCACAAACUCAGAUGGGGCUCAUGUGAAAAGGAACUGAAUUUUCCUAAAACUUUGUAUCAUUUUGGAAGUACUGAGAAAUUAAACCGCGACAUUUCAGAUGGCAAAUAAUCCCCUAAACAGCUCCCAGUCUUACUGCCCUUAAGAUUUGAAGGCUGUUCUAGACGCCAGAGCAUCUGUUUGCCUUUCUAGAAGGUACUACAUAUUGAUUGCAUAAUGAGGUAACUUUCCUCUGGCUUUGGAAAGUUAAUUUUAGUAAUUGGUCAGACUUUAUGGAAGAGCCAUGCUAAAGAUUUCCCCUUCAGUCUGGAACUGAGAAUUCGGACCAGGAGUCUAGCUUUGUGCCUCAACAUUGCUACUCCUGUAAAAUGUCACCUAACGUGAGGCUUGUUUUGUUUUGCCUUUAAAAUAAAUGUUGACUUGUUCUUAGACUUGUAGACUAGCAGAAAAAGAAAGCCCUUAGACAGUUGACUUGGCUACAGUGAUAAUUAUCCUCAGGCAUGUUUUCUUGUCCAACCCUCACUGACUCAACAAAUACAAAUGCAGAAUCCCCCAAUCAUAGGUUUAAGAUGAAUUAAAAGUCAGAGAUCCAGGUAUUAUAAUCUGCCUAUGUAACACCUGGCCCUAUAUGUAUGUAAUCUUUCAUGACAUAUUUUCUUGACUGGGACUGGUUGUGUGGGCCUGUAAUCAAUACCAGCUAUGUGGGAAGCUGAGGCAAGAGGUUCACAUGCCCAAGGCUUGCCUGAAAAACUUAGUAACAUCUGCCUCAAAUUUUUAAAAAGGGCUGAGGAUGUAGCUCAGUGUAGCUACUUACCUAGUGUCUUAGGGUUUUAUUGCUGUGGAGAGACACCAUGACCAAGGCAACUUUUGUAAAGGCAAACAUUUAAUUGGCUCUGGUUUAUAGUUUUAGAGGUGCAGUUUAUCAUCAUGGCAGGAAGCAUGACAGCUUGCAGGCAGACAUGGUGCUGGAGCAGGAGCUGAGAGUUCUACAUCCUGAUCCAAAGGCAGACAGAAGGAAAUGGACUGGUUUUUUUAGGUAGCCAGAAGGCGCCGGAAUUUCACCCUUGGUGGAGCUUGAGUAUAGGACCACAAAGCCCACCCCACACCGACAAAUUUCUUUCAAGAAGGCUGCACCUACUCCAACAAAGUCUAAUUGUCCCACUCUCCAUGGGCCUCGAAUUAAAACAGUGACUCUAUGGGUGCCAAACCUAUUCAAAGCACUGCACCUAGCAGUGAGGUCCUGGGUUCAGUCCCUAAUAAAACACAUGAGCUAGGAAACUAAAUUUCCAAAAGAAGUGUCUUCACAGGGUGGUUACUGUGUGACUGUUCAUAGCCCACGUAUGUUCUCAUUCAGUUUAGAACUAGUUAGUAACCCAACCUUGGACAUCCAUUCAUCUUUCUGUGGAAGUAGGAAGCAUCACUAUUCUGUCUGAUGAUGUAUACGACAGCCAUUUAAGGGAUGUUGGACAGCAAGUUUAAAAAAGAUGCAGCAUCAUGAAACAGUGACUGCAUUAUGAAUCUUUAAGCUUCCCCAACAAGUGGUGCUCCUAUGGGUGUUAGACAUCCUUGGAAGUGAAACUUGCACAACACGAAUGAUCCACUUGGUUAUUUGUUCUCUCUCUCUCUCUCUCUCUCUCUCUCUCUCUCUCUCUCUCUCUCUCUCUCUGUGUGUGUGUGUGUGUGUGUGUGUGUGUGUGUAUGUGUCUAUUAUUGGGCUUCAUCUUGAAAUAAUCCACUUUAAAGCAACCUGUUCCUAGUGGACCAUUGAGAUGACUGACUUAGUGGGUAGAGGUGCUUGGCUUGGAUUUAAUUCCUGAGACCCACGUAGGAGAGAAUGUACUUCUCCCAAGUUGUCUCUUGGCCUCCACAGUGCUGCAUGGUAUGUGCCUGCCCACCCCCACAAAACAGACAUAUGAAGAAAUAAAAAAUAUCUUUAAAAUAACUGCUCUGUGGCAUUCAGUAUUUCUGUGGUAGUGAUUAGGCUAAAAACCUUGUGUCACCUUGCCCCCAGUGAAUAAUUAUCCUAUUUCGUCUUCCUUCCAGCUCUUACAGCCACAAGUUUGCCUUCUGUCUAUGUGUAUUUAUUCAUUCUAAAUACUUUACAUAAAUACGGUCUUUCAUAUUUGAUUUUGGCCACGGAGCAUAACGUUUUGAUUGUUUAUCUGCUUGCGUGUGCCUGAACACAAUUCACUGCAUAGAUAGACAACACCAGUUGUCCAUCGAUGGACGUUUGGGCACUUGGUCUUUUUGGCUGCCCUGAACAGUACUGCUGCUAGAAGCAACCACACAAUGACACAGCAGUUCUAUCUUAGAUGUAUCCUAUAUCCCUGAAAAGGAUGUUUAUAUUACAACAGCUUUAUUCAUAAGGCAUUGGCAGUGUCAUGUCUUGAAAAGGGUCCUGUUUACACGAGGUAUAUACUCACUGAGUUGGAACCAACGAUAAUGUUUGAUUUCACUGUUGGCAAAUUUUAACUCAUUUUACAAGAGAGAAUAGAGCAAACUGCGAAUCCUAAUUUUCAGCAACUCCAGCUGCUGUGCCAAACUAGGGGAACAAGAAUAGAAGGAAAGCAGUGAGCUGUACUUAAAUCUUGAGAUGCAGUGGUAGCUCAGCUCCUGGUGUAGUCAUGGGCAUGGGUGGAAAGUGUGGUUCUUGGUGCACUUUGAAGGUUGAGCUGAUUUGCUGUGUUGACAGGUGUGAUGGCUGGCUGACGGACAUGAAUACAUUGGCAGGGAAGACAGUUGUAAAGGAUGCUAAGAGUUUUGAUGGGGGCGGAGCUGCCAUUUAAUGAGCCGAGCAAGCCUGAGGGCAGAUGUGUGGGAAGGUGGGGAGUUUUGAGUUUGCACAGAAACCUGCCAGCGAUUAGGAAUCUGCUUGGGACCAGAAAUAAAAAAUCCAGAGUUGUCAGUGUGGCACUCAAGACUGAACAAGCGCUAACAGAGUGAGUGGGCAAAGCGAGUUUAGGUGCUGAACCAGGAAGGAGAUGGAUGAAAAGAAGCCAGCAAGAGAGAGAGAGGGGUGGAGGGCAGAGGCCUGGCCAGUGGGUGAGGGUAAAUUCAGGGGGGGGGGGCAUGCUCUUUUCACUGUUUCACCCACAGGAAGGUAGUUGGUUGAGGUAUUUUAAAGCCAUGCUUAUCCUAGCCCCAACCUUGUUUAGUACCUUGUGUAGAGAUGGUGCAUGAGGUCCAUUUACCCUGUGCUGUUAAAUGUAUUGUAGGGAACCGCUUGCUCGGGGUUCUGUGUGCAGUAAACAAGCGCUCGAUGAUCAUCUGUUCCCUCUGUGGCUUGCUCACAUAGAACGGGCGCAUUAAGCAAUCGAAUCAGCGAUCUGGCGUCCUCUGAUUGUGUACCAGUCUCCAACAAGAUCAAGAGGUCGGAGCCUGUGUCAGUAGGCAGAAAUUACCGGAAGAUACAAACCUUCAACUCCAUACACCUACAGUGAAUAUUGGGUAAUGUUUCCACCUGCCUGUACCUCCUUUGUCUUGGUGGGAGUCUGAUCUUAACAGUGACCUCCCCACACCGCUUUAUCUUUUAGGUGAGACAGAACCUAGUUGGAGUCUGUGUGAAUUGGGAGGAGAUCUGGAUUCAUUUCAGACAUUUGACUCUUUUCCCAGCCAGUGAUUGGCUGAUACAGCUGUGGUCAAAGCUUUGUUUUCGGACCAUUUGUGUUAUAACAAAGUUACCAGAGUCUAUGUAUUUUAUUUUUUAAUUUAAAAAAAUCAAGAGAUUUGUGUGUGUGUGUGUGUGUGUGUGUGUGUGUGUGUAUGUGUGUGUGUGUAUGUGUGUGUGUGUAUGUGUGUGUAUGUGUGUGUGUGUAUGUGUGUGUGUGUGUGUGUGUGAGAGAGAGAGAGAGAGAGAGAGAGAGAGAGAGAGAGAGAGAGAGAGAAGGGGGGAAGGAGAGAGGGAGAGAAUGAGAAUGAGAGACUAUACUGGGAACCCACAGGGGCCAGAAGAGGGUGUCAGAUCCCCUGGGGGAUGGAGUUACUGGUGAUGUAGCUGCUGGGUGUGGUUAGCUCUGGUCCUCUGAAGUGGUUGCAGGUGCUCUUAGCCUCUGGGCCAUCUGUGCAGCCCCAGGACUGUAUUUUAAAGGGAAGGAUUUAUUUAACCUGCAGUAGUGAGGUCUAGCACUCAGUGCUGGCCUGUGCUCAGCUGGUGAGCACCAACUGUGGUGCUCCACCAUGAUGGAAAUGUAGAAAGGAAUGAGUGCAUUCGAGGAGCACAGCGGGGCUGGACUGCUUCACAGCCACCCACUCUCAAUGCCUGGUACCUUUCUUCACAGAUAGUGAUCCUUUCCUAAGUGUGGAGCCCCUCAGACUCCAUAUGAGUCUAGUGGAGACUGAGUGUUCAGAAGAUGUACUGGAGAUCUUGGGACACAAGGAGUCUCCCUUUUAAAAAAAGGUUGAAAACAGAAAUUCUAAUGGACAUGGUCUGGCCAUUGGGAGUCUAUCUAGAGCUAAUCCACUCCCUUGUGCUGAUGCAGAGAGAAGCUGGGUCCCAAAUGAUCUUUAACUAACAUUUUCCAGGGGACUUAAUGAAUAACACAGCAGAUGAGUCUGCCUUCAUGUGAAUCCAUUAACACAGCCAUAUAGUCAGUGGACCAAUUUCUAGGGACUGCUCUGAAGUGGUUCUUCAGGGAAAGGGUGGCCACUUGAUGGCAUGGAAGUCCAGCACUGGGUAGUUGGAGAAGACUAGAUUCAUGUCCUUUGUAACUGGGAGAAGCAGGGUUUGCCAUUCUGAUUGCACAGCAGAUGCCUUUUGAGGUUAAAUCUUAGAAGGAGGGUCGUCAGCCUCAACUGCAGGGCUCUGCUUCCAGUCAGGAAUGAGUAUGGAACAUGGACCCUCCUUUCCCCAGGCCUUAAUUACCGCAGUAUCUGUUCUCUGAGUAGUCUGUGCUUUUUAACAUUUCUAGAGAGGGGGUGGUACUUUAUAAAACUUUUCGUUUUGAGGAUACACUGGUUUAGGGAGAUGGGUUUCAUGGAAUUAGAUGUCAAAGAUGGAAAAGAUAUCAUGGAAUUAGAUUGAUUGUAGUAACUUAAUAGUAUUUAUCACUUUGUUGUUCCUCUCAGAAAACGGGUCGUUUGCUCAAGUUUUUCUAGUAAAGAGUGCUUCAGGGAUACAGCGACAUGAUACAUUCAGGGAUACAGUGACGUGAUCAACUUUGGAAGUGAUAGUGGUGUAGGCAUUUGUUUGGGACUCCCGUGCAGUUUGAAUUGAGAGUACUCUCUUUAUUAUGUUGAAGUCAAAUGAGCAAUUUCAGGAGCCAUGAGAGGAACAUGAAAGUAGGUAGGUGUGUCUGCAGGGGAUUUGUGAAUUGUUCUUCCUUCUGAUGGUAAAUGUCUGUCCAGGUCCAUCCUUCCACCCUUCCCAUUGUCACUGGUCAUUUUUCUAAUGACUCUACAUCUCUUAGCUGUGUGCUUUUUUAUUAAGCCAUGCCUGAUCCCAAGAAGUUGGUUAAUAGGGGACAGUGUGUCUAGCAUUUCCUCUCUCUUGUUCUCAGGAAGCUGUAUUGAUCUUUCCUGGGGAGCGACAGACUCCAGAGCAUGGUCAUUAUGACUCUGCAGUGAAGCUUAUCAGUUCUCUUUCCUGCCUGGGAAGCACCAUCUGCUCUUCAGUAAUUAUUCUCAUAUGCAACCAUGGAAUUGUGUUUUGGAGACCUUAAUGUGCUACGUUCCCCAGCCCCCUUAUUUAAACACUAUAACCACCACCAUCCCUAGAAAUGUUGGUUUUGAUACACCCUGAAAAUUGUGCCCUGUUGCCAUGCCUCUGCCAAGGCCCUUGCUCACAUGGGUGGCUUGCAGGUCUGUCCUCCCUCCACUGUGCUGACUCAGCUCCACUUUGGUGCUGACGCCUUGAGGAUCGUCACUCAGAGCACCCGCUAUUUCAUUAUGCCAGACCCCAGGACCAGGACAGCCACCCUAAGGUAGCUUUAGCCAUUGCCCUGCUGCUGUCCUUGCCCUGUGGCUUCCAGUGCUGCUCUCUCCCUCUGCUUUUCAUUCUUUUCUCACCUCAGCAAACCCUAAAGGGUUCUUGUGUGGUGGGAACUGGGUUUCUGUCAUUGCUUGACCAGUUGAACAAUCAAUCGCAGGACAUUCUUGAGCCUUAAUGUUCAUAUUCUCAUUCUGUUGAGGAGCCAGCGUGUGGUUGUAAAUAUCAGUGGGGCUCAGUUUGUUGUCUCUACAUGUAUCUAGCACGUCUUGCUCAAAAUCGGAUGACACAAAUAGUUUUGCUAUUCUAUGAAGCAUGGACCUAAAUUUUUCAUCAUACUUAUUGAUUGAUUGAUUGUAUGAAUGGGCACAUGUGCGUGGCAUACGCUUGAUGGUCAGACGGCAACUUGCAGAAGUCUGUUUCCCUCCUCCUGUCAUGUGAGUUCCAGGAUUGAACUCAGGUCAUCAGUCUUGGUGGCAAGCACCUCUACCCAUUGAGCCAUCUUGACAGCCCAACUUUCUUUUUUAAUUAUCAAAUAUUGUUUCCUUAUGCUAUUUUGAUAACAUGUGUAAUCACUUCAAUUAUCUUUCCUUGCACCUACUCUAUGCUGAUCCCAAAUACUCCCCUUCUACCUUUAUGUCUUGUUUUGAAUUUAGAUUCCACAUCUAAGAUAAUGCUCAUCUGUUUUUCUGAAUGUGACUUAUAUCAUUUAAAUAGCGGUUUAUAGUCCCAUCUAUUUCUUUUAGAUAACAAAAUUCCAUUUUUUAUGACUGAAUAAAAUUCUAUUGUGUGUAUAUUUGUUCAUUUAACUAUUGGCUGAUGCCUGGUCUGAUUCUAUAACUUGGGAAUAAUGCUGCAAUAACUCUGUGUAUGUGUGCGUGUGCGCGUGUGUGUGUGUGUCUGUCUGUGUCUGUUUAAAUUCCUGAAUCUUCAUACAGCACUUGAGUAACUUGCCUAUUUUAUAGCUAUAAAGAACAUACCUGCGUGUUUACUUUUCUGCCUGAUGUUUCUAGGGAUGCUAAACAUUAUUGGUGUUGUGUGUGGUUUCAGACAGUUGGUGUCUGUGAUUCCACGGGGGCUGUGGGAGCUGCUUGCUGAUGCAGACUGUGCCCCUCUAGGUUGCUGGCAUUCAAAACUUUCCCAAAAAUUUCAUUUUUUGAGGUCUGGCUGCUAUUGUUUGGUUGUUUUGUUAUUUGGAAGUAAUUUUUGUAUUUAUUGUGUUUAGACUUGAGCUAUUUAAUAGUGACAUAGUCACAUUUGUAACCUUUACUGGUGAAGAUACAGCUGGUCUAGUCUAGACUCCUGGGGAGCAUCAAGUGUCAUCUCACUUUACAUACAUUUUCAUAUGUGUCUUGUAAAAGCCCUGCCUAUUGGUGUACUUGGCUGUGUCUUAUAGUGCGUCAGCUGUCAGUUUAAGCCUCUGAUUGGGAGAAAACAUUUACACAGAUGUAUAGGAGAAAUAACUGCCUCAGGUACUCGCCAACAGAGUAGGGUGCUCAGUGGUCGGUACAUUUGUAGGAUUGAAUAGAAUGGCAUACACGAACGCUAUUUGUAGACUCUGUGUUUUAGUCAGGUGCUCACUGCCUUACAAAUGCUUGUUUUUCAUCCUGUGCACUGUUGGCAGAAAGUGGUAUGGCUGUUGAGGGAAACAGUGUGGUUGUUCGUCAAACAAAGGAAUGGAAUUACUGUACAACCCAGAAGUUUGACUUCUCGGUAUACACUGAAAAAUAGAAAGAAAAACUUGGACAGAUACUCAGGGACUGUGCUCACAGUAGCUUUGGCUGAGGUUGCCUGCAGGUGCAGCCAGCUGCAGAGCCCUUGGGUGACUCAGUGGAUAUGAUCCAGCUUUGGAAAGCAGUUCUGCUGUACGUGCUGUACAGCACACUGAUGAACCCUCAGGACAUUAUACUAAGGGGAAUAGUAAGCAGGCCACAUAAGUAUGGGAUGUUUCCAUUUUGGAAGCAGCCAUCAGGUCAGAAAGGAGGGAAGGUUGAUGGGAGACAUGUUUAGUGGUGUGGCUUGUGCUUUGCAAGGUGAAAAACUUGGUGGAGAUGGUCUCAUAAUACUCAGUACCACCAGGCUGUGUGCCUACGAGAGGGUUAAGAUGGGAAAUCAAGCAACAGCUCACACAGUUGCAGAGUGUUCUUUGGUACAAAUGGACCAUGGUGCUGGGAGGUAGAAGAGUUUCUGGGAAGCAGAUGAAACGAGGAUGGCAGACUGUGGAUAAAACUGUGUUAAAACUGGGCAAGGGUUCAGGGCCCACUGUGCUGCUCUCUUUAUUUUAAAGUUCCUGUUUGCCAUUUAAGAAGACUACUUACCUUUUCCAUGACCAAUAAUGCCUCAAGAGAGAGAGAGGAGUGAGCUGGUGUGAGCUGGAGCUGGUCUGCUCUUUAGUGCAGGAGGCUGAGGGGAGAGCAACCGUGGAGCGAGGCAGGGCAGGUUUUCUGCAGACAGCUAAUUUUGUUGUGCCCAAGUGGAACCACUCCCUCAGAUUGUCCUCUGACUUCCACAUGUGCACCGUGACAUAGGUGUGAGCCUAUACACUAAAGUGUGUGUGUGUGUGUGUGUGUGUGUGUGUGUGAGAGAGAGAGAGAGAGAGAGAGAGAGAGAGAGAGAGAGAGAGAGAGAGAGUGUGUUGGCAAAGAGGGCUGGAAAGAUGGCUCAGCAGUUAAGGGCAAGUGCUGUUCUUACAGAGGACUUGAGUUUAGUUCCCACCACCCACAUUGGACAUCUCAUAACCCUCUGUAGUUCCAGCUUUCUGGGAUCAGUUACCUCUGGCCCCAGUGGCAUUUGCAUUCAGGUGUGCAUAACCCCCAUGUAGAUAAUUAAAAAUAAAGUGAACGUUUAAAAGGCUAGCACACAAAAUAAUAUUGGCAGCUUGCUUCACUAGGGGAAUAAUAUUAUUUUCUAAAAUUACUUUUGUAUUUCCUUCUAAGUUUGUAACCAUAAAUCUAGUGAAAUAUGAGUCUAUCCUGUCUUGUCUAACAGAAAGAGGUGAGAUUUCUUUUCUUUUCACUUAGUAUUUCUUUUCACUUAAUAGACUAUAUUAAUCACAGUUCCUUUGCUAUAAUGUACAAAUUGUAUUGGCGAGAAACUUUUAGCAUCUACUAAAAUGUCAAAAUGGAAAGAAGAGAGUAUUCUGUGAAGUUUGACAAUGGACCACACAUGACCCAAGGGAAUGGUUCACCAAUGAGUGUCAGGUGUGACAGCUGGUAGCAGAGUGACCCUGGGCAGUUUUAACACGAGGAACAACACUCACAUGCAGGGACUGGCCAGCAGGGAGGACAGGGACACAAGGAGCAGUAGCAUGAAUGGUGCACUUGCUCACACACAGUCAGGCUGGAGAUGGAGAUUUGUCUAAAGGAGCUUCUUGUAGGAAUUCCUGUUUGUUCCGUGAGAGCCUGAGGAAACACCUCAGCAGGACUACAUUCUUGUGUGGCUACUUCUCUUCAGUAGUUUGCUUCUCAGGCUGAUUCGUCCAUUGUACAAAUCUGAACACUUCCUGUGUACAGAAGCUGUGCUAAAUCCUGAGAGAAGCUGAGGGGCAAGGCCAGCAGGAGCCUAUGCUUCAAGCUCAGGUCAGGAGUCACUUCCAAAGUGACAAGAGCAUUGAUACCAGAGCAGAUCCCAUGCCUGGGAACACUCAGCUGGCCCUAGUGCAGCAGUCCUGUGGGUCUUAUGUUACAGUUUAUAACAGUAGCAAAAUCACAGGAAGUAGCAGUGAAAAUAAUUUUAUGGCUGGGGUCACCACAUGCGGAUCUGUAUUAAAGAGUCUAGCAUUAGGAAGGUUGAGAACCACUGCCUUAGGGGAUAGAGGGAAACCAGAGCUAGAGAUGAAGGCACUGAAUUCAGUUCCAGGAUUGCUGGUGACAGCCCAAGUUGCCCACUCCUGUUACCUGGGUUAGGGCCUGUUUUCUUCAAAAUUGUCUUUACAUCACCCAGCCUGAUGUGUGGAUGAUGUAAGAAAAGAUACCACAUUUUGGUCUCAGGUUCCUACCUAUGUUACUCUACAUACUCCACUUAGCCACCUCCUGUCCAGCCCUUAUGUCUCAACUCAGACACCCUUCUUCCCAGUCUUCAGUCAGGACUGUGUGCACUCCGCAAGGUGCAGAAACACUGGUCCCAGAGGGGUCCAGAGAGGCAGGACAGAAGGCCAGUGGGGUCUAGACGAAGUCCUUCAGGCAUACCCUUCAGCCCUGGUACUUUGCUCCAUGCAAAGUAACAUUUCAAACCAGUGAGUGUACCUGAUGGUUCGUGCAAUGAGAGCAGAAAUCCCUAUCGGUCUCCUGUUAUAGUCAGUUUCCAGCAAACAAUUAAUGAGUGAUUGGAUGCCAUUGGAAUGUAUCAGUCAAGAAAGUGGUGAGAGAAGGGGAUUGUGGGUUGUUCCAGUGUUGGCAGCAUGUUGUACUUAUGGGUUAGGAGGGAAAUGAAAAGGGGAGGAAGGGUUGGUUGAUGUGUACAGGAGAGUUGGCCAGAGAGCCUGAGAAGGGAGUGCUUUCUGUCGCCUUGAGAUGAGGGAGAGGCUUUUCAGUAGCAGCCUGCCAUGGACAUACACUGUUCCCGUGGGUGAUGGAGCCUCAGACAGGUGCCUGUGGGUUUCUCUAAGCCUCGAAUGUAUUUGUGGUCAGAAGCAGUGCUGCAUAGCUGUAGUUAAGCUCGUCACUUGGGGUUGGAUUCUCGUAACAUCAAUGUGCCUGUGCUUCCUGCCGUCCUGUUCAGGUCUCAUCAGUACUGAUUUGGGGCAGCUAUGAGGACUGCAACGUCCACAAGGGAGCUUUCUGCAGCAUACUGUGCCAGACUCUACUAGAGGAAGAUUUUCUUCACUGGUAUUUUACCGGAGGUUUGACUCCAGUUCCGUAUUGCAUUUGUAAGGAAGGCUAGAUGUCUCAGGAUACAAGAGGGGACGUACUUGCAGAGGUGCGGGGUGCAGAGGUGCGGGGUGUGAAGGCUACUACCAUCUUUGAGAGGUCCAGCAACAGUGCAGGGUUUCUAGGUUAUUUGCAUCUCUGGGUGGAAGAUUUGCCCAGUGAUUCUCAACAAUUUUGUAGUACACACUGUGUCAUUGAAUAGCUUAAGACCUUGGAAGUAAAAAGCUAAGCCCUGUGACAUGCCCUGUGUGAACUGGAGUCAGUAGUAUAAGUGUAUGCUGGAGUUGUGCAGACUGAAGGACAUUAGAAGCAGUUAGAAGCGACCAAGUUCAAGAAGCAUGGCGGCCAGGUCAGUUACCAUCCCCCAGUCUUUGACACCCCAGCUUCUCUCUAGCUGUGCAUGAAUUCUCAUGUUUGCAGUGACUCAUAUUAGAUCUGACUGAGAGCCAGCAGUUUCUGUUCAUUUUUAAUACAAUCUGCAGAAUUUUGAAAUGCUUAGUAAAGUACCCAGGUAAAAAUUUUGCUAGAAGUAAUCAUUGUUCAUGAUAUAGAAAUUACACUCUAGAACCACAAAGUGGUCAGUGAAAGGCUGUUCUCCCAGGAUAGCAGCUUCUCAGAUAGCUGUCCAGUGUUCAUCUCUUCCCUGUCUACUCUUUUCUUCCUCUUACCUUUUGCCCCGCUUCAGAUAAGCAAAUGGCUAUGUCCAUAGCCAUGUCAGCAGCAGCAUUUGUGUACCUUCUAAUGUACCCAGGGCAUGUUUCCAUAGCAGCAGGAGAGGUGGCAACUUCUGUCUGCUUCAUUAUUGUUGGGAGUAUUUGCAUGUUAACAGUAAUGCCACCAUAUACGAUUCUGUAUAGCUUGGGUGAGCCAGUGCUUGCUUUCACGGACAAGCACACUGGUUUUUGUGUUUCUUAUUGCUCAGUAUUGUACUUUGCUUUCUCACCCUCAUACAGAUAUAUAUGUAUAGAAGUAAAAAUGUUAAAUUUUUGUUUUAACUUCAUUAGUGUCAUUAAGUAUAAAAAUAAAUAUGAUUUCAGAAUAAUGAAUGAAGUUUGAUUUUGGCUUUCUAAAACUUGGAAUUCAAUGAUACUUACUGUUGCAGCUCUUAAAAGGACAGAAAGGGAGCUUUCUAGGGAGCCUGCAACUGUGAGACUGUGCACAAGCCUGUGCGCACUCAGUUUUCUGAAGUCAAGUUGCUUCUGAUACUUUAUAUUUUACUGUCAUGUUAGAGGCUUCAUCUCAUGAUCAUUUGUUCAUUCACAUGUGUUUUUAUUUUUAGCUCUAAGCAAAAGAACAUGAGGCUGAAUUGAGGUGGCUUUGUGGUCAUCCGAUUUCUAGACGUGUGCGGUCACCUGGUCCUGAAAACCCUCCACACAGAAUGGUAAUGGCAAAAUUGGAGGGAUGGAGAGGGGGCCUCAUGCCCCUACUGCUGUCCUCCCCCAACUUUUAAGUAUGUUAAAGAAGCAGUACUUAGAAAAAGGUCUAGGCUUAAUUUCUGGGAAAGACUAAUAAGAUUCUUUGCCCAAAUACAAAAGGUGUUUUCAGCUGCCAUUAACUCAGAGAAGGGGCUCUCAGUGCCAUUUCAUAUCCUACACUUGGUAGAGUACCAUUGUAGCUUCUAAAAUCCUCUCACAGGUUUGCUGCAUGUUAGCCAAAGUUGUGAAGUUGCUUCAUAGCCGAGCUCUAAGAGGGGGCGAGUCCGUCCCAGUCUAGUGGGCCUCGCAGAAGACAGCCCUAGUUCAAGUUGUUUGUUACCCAGGAGACAGCUGCAUUUUGAAGCAAUGCCUUGUUGCUUCUCACGUUUCCUUGCUUGGAUGCUCAUCAGCAGUUGUGCGCAUCGCCUCACAUUUGUCUGUGCCAUCUCCUCUGUCCAGAACCCCAUAACCCUGCAUGUCGAGAGCGGCAAGAUUCAGACAACGUUUCCAUCCCUUCAUGUAUGUGACUUUUUUUGACGAGUGAAGCCUGCCCAUGGAGCUCUGGCCCCAUGAGAACUAAGCUCUUACCUGUGUCUCCGCUUCUCCUCACUGGCCAGCCUUGUUCUAGUUUAGACAAAAGCAGCAGUCAGUGGGUUGCUCCUAUAUGCAGGGUUACAGAUCUUUGGGAAGGGAGACCUCUGAGCUCUUGGUUUUCUAUAGUAUGAUGCUCUGGCCUUAAGUGGCAUGGUUUCUGAGCCACAGUAGAGGAGUUGGUCAUAUGGUUCAUUUUUUUCUUUAUUAACAGUGUCUUAGUAAAAAGAGGCAGAGCUGUAUAUUUCUAAAGUCACAGUUAUAGCACUUGAGAGACAUGAGCAGCAUAGUGAGUGAUGCUGUCCUAGAAAUGUGGGGUAUGGGGAAAAGUCUUACUGAGAAACAAUUACCAGCACUACUGAUGCCUGUGUAAUUGGAAAUUGUACUCUCUACCCAGGCUUAGUGCACACACUUGCAAUCCCAGCACUCCCAAGGCAGAGACAGAUCUGUCCAGGCCAUCUGGGUAUACAUAGAGUUCUAGACUAACCAGGACUACAUAACUACAUAAUGAUCUCUCUCUCUCUCUCUCUCUCUCUCUCUCUCUCUCUCUCUCUCUCUCUUUUGUUCUCACUCUCUCUCACGCACAAUCUAAUUUUUUAUUACUCAAAACAGUUUUUUAAUUUCUUUUUUAUAGAAGAGAGAAAACAAAGUAAGCACCCUUGCUGUGCUGUGGCCCCUUUUGAGGAUAGAAGGACUUUAAUGUCAAGUGCUAGAUGUUAGUACACUGGAGGACAGUCAGCUGAAAAGCAGCUUCUAAAGGUGUGUGUCAUCCAAGAAAAAGCCUGUAUCCUCAUUUACACACUUCAGUGUCUUCGCCACAGUAGUCACCUCCAGGAGAGAAAGACAGGACUACUGCUAUGUUAAAGACUUAGAAAUGUGAAUUGGUGUUGACCCAGCAAAUAUUAAACAAACAGGUGGCACAUGUGAGUGUAGUUUGAUAUUUAUUUUGCCUCAUAGAAACUGCUUUGUUUUAAAGUAAAGCUUAAAAGCUAGUGUAACUCGAGUAAAGCAUUGAUAUUGAAAUGUUUGAAAUUUAUACAAGUAAAUAGUGACCUUUUCUGAAAAAAGUGUUUUUCUUUGCCCUUGUUUAAUUUAUUUUCCCUUUUUUGUUUUUUAGGUUUGCAAUUUUUUUUGGUGAUGGCAUGUUCAGAAUCUUGGAUCCCUAAAUUGAAUGUUGGAAAUAUGUAGGAGCCUUGGAAAUUACGUUGUUUUCAUAUAUUAAUGUUUUGGUAGACUAAUAAAUGUAUGUAAAGGAACUCCAUACUUGUAAGGUGACAGGUAUGUCUCAGGGCUGUCACCUGUGUGAGUGCUGUGCUCUGGAGACAGCUCUGCUGUGGAGAUUCUCUGUGGACCUCUUGCUGUCCUGGGCAGACUGUGAGAUUCCUCCCAUGAUGCUUUGGUUAGCUGGUUUUCUUUCCUACCUACAUUGCAGUGGGAGCUCCUUAGAUCAGGAGUUAUGAAGAGAAGAAAAAGCAUCAAGUAACAAUCUUAAAUGCAGUAACCACAGAAUUUCUACCUGGGAAUCAUCUUACAAGGUCUGUAUUAGAAUAUAUAAUUUUUUAAAUCAAAUAUAUGUGUAGCGAAAUGCAGCCAGUUUUUAAAGUCAGGCAUUAUUGUAGAUCAGAGGUGUUCACAUUGAGGGAAUAAGGAUGCUCGCUUUCACCUUCUUCCUGUCUCCUCCUUGUCAGUUGAUGAGUUAGUAGGAAGGGGUUAGUGGUCUAUGUAAAGAGGAGGAGGAGAGGCUUAAAUUUCCUGAAAGGAUUAAUUUCCCUUAAAAUAAAACCAAAAACAAAAAACCCAACAAACCAAAAACUUAGAAGUUGGUUCCCUUCCCUGUGUGGGCUGCUCUCAUGUAGAAUGUGGGUGGGAGAGUCUCCAUCCAUGGACAGAUGAUGGUGGUAUCGGGUGCAGUGCAGGUUAGAGUCGCUGUAGUUACCCUUGAUGGUGUGUGGUCCUUCACUGCCUCCUGCACCUGCUGGAACUCAGAGACUUAAGGAAGCUCAGUUACUCCGUUGUCAGUGUGAAUGCCGUUCUCCUCUUACAUCCUCACUGGGGAGUACUGAUUGCAGGGACCACGGUUAGAGCAGCCUGGAACGUGAAGGGAGUGCAGGAAGCUGCAGAAACUGAACCAGAGCUCAGGAGAGCCUCCGUUGAGUUUUAUUAUUGGUGGGUUGUCCAUUGUUCCUGGAGACCUUGCUUACCUGCAGUCACCAUUAUCCUUAGAUUUCUCUUGGAGUUUUUCAGAAACUGAAGGGCUGUAAUCCUGCCAGUGGCGCCCCUUCUAGUUAAAAUCUAAUUAUAUCAUUUCCCUUCUUGCCUUUCUUCCCUCCAACCUUCUCUUCCCUUUUCAGUGGCAGAAAUGAUACUUAUUAGAUGAUACUUAUUUGCUGGGAAACACUACUUAGAUUUUAAUUGUGACAUACCAGUGUCAGUGUCAGUUGCUUCCUGAUUAUAACUGGCUUUGAAAAACUCUCCUCCUGUGGCACUGCUGUCAACAGAGGUUUCCUUUUAGCUGGUUCUAGCCACAGUAUCGAUUGGGCCUGGGGAUCUGAUAUACCCAAAAACAAAUUAGCCAGCCAGAAAAAAAUCUUUGUCCCCACCGGAAUAAAUAUUUUAAAGACCUUCUUAGAUUCUGAAAACCAUGAGUACAAAUGAAAGAGACCCAUGAAAGAGAAAACCUUAGGAGCUUGACAAAACAAAGUGCUGGUGGGUGCGACUGACCUUCACAGAGCAGCUCUAAGGGAACAGUGCCUCCUGGAGGGGAAGAGAAGGCUGGAGUGUCCUGGACACGAGGCAUUUCCUGUCGCCACAGCUAGUUUUCACAAGCAGGCCAUGGAAUUUAAGAAUAGUGAAUUAUUGUGGUAUGUUCUAAAUGUGUUUGCAGCUCAAUGGUUAAUUUAACUUCAAAUAAAUGUCUUUACGUAUUAAAGAAAAUACAUUAUCAAUAAAA